Molecule: ribosomal RNA, 628 nt
Filed under: uncultured bacterium
Lineage: Bacteria
Description: bacterial SSU rRNA
Rfam family: Bacterial small subunit ribosomal RNA
Source: RNAcentral
UGCAGUCGAACGCCGACGCACCUUCGGGUGUUUAGGAGUGGCAGACGGGUGAGUAACGCGUGGGAACCUACCUUUAGGUACGGAAUAACGCAGGGAAACUUGUGCUAAUACCGUAUGAUCCCUUCGGGGCAAAGAUUUAUCGCCUAAAGAUGGGCCCGCGUUAGAUUAGCUAGUUGGUGAGGUAAUGGCUCACCAAGGCGACGAUCUAUAGCUGGUUUGAGAGGAUGAUCAGCCACACUGGAACUGAGACACGGUCCAGACUCCUACGGGAGGCAGCAGUGGGGAAUCUUGCACAAUGGGCGAAAGCCUGAUGCAGCCAUGCCGCGUGAGUGAAGAAGGCCUUAGGGUUGUAAAGCUCUUUCGCUAGGGAUGAUAAUGACAGUACCUAGUAAAGAAGUUCCGGCUAACUCCGUGCCAGCAGCCGCGGUAAUACGGAGGGAACUAGCGUUGUUCGGAAUUACUGGGCGUAAAGCGCGCGUAGGCGGACCAAUCAGUCAGAGGUGAAAUCCCGGGGCUUAACCUCGGAACUGCCUUUGAUACUGUUGGUCUAGAGUUCGAGAGAGGUAAGUGGAAUUCCCAGUGUAGAGGUGAAAUUCGUAGAUAUUGGGAAGAACACCAGUGGCGAAGG